GACGAACGCUGGCGGCGUGCUUAACACAUGCAAGUCGAACGGACAGGCGCUGCUCUUGUGGGGUGCUCGAGUGGCGAAGGGGUGAGUAACACGUGAGUAACAUCCACCUAACAUUGUGAUAACAUCUGGGGACAGGGGCUAAAAUCGGAGAGAAGCUUCUGAUGCAUGGUGGUCGAUAGAAAGAGACGGCUGUUGGGGAUGGAAUCGCUGGUUAUCCGCUUGUUUGUGGGGUAGGGGCGUACCAAGGCUGUGAAGGAUAGCCGGCCUGGGAGGGUGAACGGCCACAUUGGGACUGAGAUAGGGCCCAGACUGCUACGGGAGGCAGCAGUGGGGAAUAUUGCACAAUGAGCGGAAGCCUGAUGCAGCGACGCCGCGUGCGGGAUGACGGCCUUCGGGUUGUAAACCGCUGUCGCCGGUGACGAAGCGUGAGUGACGGUAAUUGGUAAAGAAGCACCGGCUAACUACGUG
RNAcentral lists this ribosomal RNA (468 nucleotides) under uncultured bacterium. RNAcentral describes it as "partial 16S ribosomal RNA". It matches the Rfam family "Bacterial small subunit ribosomal RNA", at positions 28 to 507 of the family's 1533-position model. The record is from RNAcentral.